AAGUCUUCUCCCUCUUCGCAUAGAACCCUUCUCUCUCUAAAGUCUUCUCCCUCUUCGCAUAGAACUCUUCUCUCUCUAAAGUCUUAUCCUCUUAGCAUAGAACUCUUCUCUCUCUCUAAAGUCUUGUCCCUCUUCGCAUAGAAACUCUUCUCUCUCUCUAGCAUUCAACGCAUUCUCUCUCUAAACCCGCGUUUCUCUCUCUACAUCAUAGAAAUGUGCCUCAAGUCUACGAGAUCACGGUUCUCCACUGCAAAACCCUAUCGCUGUCUCCGCAAACCCCUUUCCCUCUCUAAGCCACCUGGAAUAGAAAUAUCUAUCUAAACCCCAUUUCUCUCUCUUCCUGCAAUGGGAUCUCUCUGAAACUCCAUCUCUAAUUCUCUCUCUACACUUGUAGAACUAGUCUAUGCUACAAAACUUCCCCCUCUCUUUUGCUUAGAAACCCCUGUUCUUCUCUCUCUAGAAAUGAGCGCAGAUAACUCACCUGACACCCUCCCCCGCCUCUCUGGUGUCGAGUCCUCUGCAGAAGAGGGCGAGCAGCGCCCAGAGAGAGAAAGAGAGAGCUUAUCUAGAGAGAGAGAGGACCCUCGAUCAUCUAGAGAGAGAGGAGGGCCUUCGGUCAUCUAGAGAGAGAGAGGACCAUCGGUCAUCUGGAGAGAGAGAGGACCAUCGGUCAUCUGGAGAGAGAGAGGACCAUCGGUCAUCUGGAGAGAGAGAGGACCAUCGCUCUGACAGUAGAGAUAGAGAGAGAGAUAGGUACCAUUCCGACUCUCGCAGGAGAAGUGAUGA
This 786-nucleotide long non-coding RNA is filed under the name Amborella trichopoda. Its description in RNAcentral is "long non-coding RNA (ATRI_LNC001647)". Lineage: Eukaryota; Viridiplantae; Streptophyta; Magnoliopsida; Amborellales; Amborellaceae. The record is from RNAcentral.